AUCGACAUCUCUCAUUUGAUGGAGUGAGGAAUUAUCUCUCGGACAUAAAAAAGCAAUUCUUCAACAAAAUCCCUUCAUAUGCGGUUUGGAUGAAUUUACCUUCUGAGCCAAAGACUCGAGAAGAUUUUCUACAACAUUUCCGUUAUCUGACUCUGGAUCCCAACACGGCACAUGGUUACCUCCGUCUGUGUGAGGAGGACAGAGCGGUGAGACGCAGUAAGAAAGAGAAGUCGUACCCUCGUCACC
This is a long non-coding RNA of Ictalurus punctatus (channel catfish), 246 nucleotides long. RefSeq lists it as uncharacterized. The transcript has 3 exons. The record is from RefSeq and is a predicted model, not a curated record. NCBI's taxonomy places the organism in Eukaryota, Metazoa, Chordata, Actinopteri, Siluriformes, Ictaluridae.